AAGGGUGUAGCUCAGUGGUAGAUUGCAUGCCUAGCAGGCACAAUGUCCUGGGUUCAAUUCCCAGUACUUCUG
This 72-nucleotide transfer RNA is filed under the name Camelus bactrianus (Bactrian camel). It matches the Rfam family "tRNA". Rfam says of the family: Transfer RNA (tRNA) molecules are approximately 80 nucleotides in length. Their secondary structure includes four short double-helical elements and three loops (D, anti-codon, and T loops). The record is from Rfam by way of RNAcentral. RNAcentral also lists the same sequence under 2 other names. Lineage: Eukaryota; Metazoa; Chordata; Mammalia; Artiodactyla; Camelidae.